AAUGACAAGAAGGAGCAUCCGCUUCUCACCUGAUUGACGCAAGUGUUGACGGGUAUAACUACAACCGAUUGAGUGUAUACAAUACCUAUGGUUAGAGUUAGUGCGGAUGAUUUCAUUCGCACUUUUUUAUUUGU
Molecule: regulatory RNA element, 134 nt
Organism: Desulfuribacillus alkaliarsenatis
Lineage: Bacteria; Bacillati; Bacillota; Desulfuribacillia; Desulfuribacillales; Desulfuribacillaceae
Rfam family: Ribosomal protein L20 leader
About the family: This family is a putative r-protein leader autoregulatory structure found in B. subtilis and other low-GC Gram-positive bacteria. It is located in the 5' untranslated regions of mRNAs encoding initiation factor 3 followed by ribosomal proteins L35 and L20 (infC-rpmI-rplT). A Rho-independent transcription terminator structure that is probably involved in regulation is included at the 3' end.
Source: Rfam